RNAcentral lists this ribosomal RNA (58 nucleotides) under Macrophomina phaseolina. Its description in RNAcentral is "partial 28S ribosomal RNA". RNAcentral also lists the same sequence under 4 other names. Lineage: Eukaryota; Fungi; Ascomycota; Dothideomycetes; Botryosphaeriales; Botryosphaeriaceae. The record is from RNAcentral.
UUGACCUCGGAUCAGGUAGGGAUACCCGCUGAACUUAAGCAUAUCAAUAAGCGGAAGA